CCCCCCCCCACCAACACGUCAGGUCAAGGUGCAACUAACGGAACGGAAAGCAAUGGGCUACAAUUUCUACCAUAGAACACACAAAAACUGCAUGAAACUCAGCCACCAAGGCGGAUUUAGUAGUAAAAAGAAAACAGAAAGUUCUUUUUAACCCGGCCCUGGGACGCGUACACACCGCCCGUCACCCUCCUCACAUCUACUAAGAGGAGGCAAGUCGUAACACGGUAAGCAUACUGGAAAGUGCGCUUGGACAACAAAAUGUAGCUUAACCAAAGCCCCUCGCUUACACCGAGAUAGACGUCAAUAACCUCUGACCAUUCUGAGCCUAAAUCCUAGCCCCCAUCAACCUAAACAACAAAUAAACAAAUAACAAA
This 374-nucleotide ribosomal RNA is filed under the name Stumpffia analanjirofo. RNAcentral's name for it is "partial 12S ribosomal RNA". The stretch from base 1 to 262 matches the Rfam family "Bacterial small subunit ribosomal RNA", at positions 1058 to 1533 of the family's 1533-position model. Lineage: Eukaryota; Metazoa; Chordata; Amphibia; Anura; Microhylidae. The record is from RNAcentral.